This 384-nucleotide long non-coding RNA is filed under the name Capsella rubella. Its description in RNAcentral is "long non-coding RNA (CRUB_LNC005055)". The record is from RNAcentral. Lineage: Eukaryota; Viridiplantae; Streptophyta; Magnoliopsida; Brassicales; Brassicaceae.
UUUCAUAUCGUUUUUAAUCAAUGUUUACUCAUAAUAUUUUACUUUUUGUGUUUAUUUUUUUAAAACAACUAAUUGUAAUCUACUUUUUUGAUCUAGUAGCUUGAGAUUUUGAGGUCUUUGGGAAAACUACGAAGAUCAACAACAUCCUCCCCAAUAAACCCAAAAAACGUGGUAUGCAUUCGAAGGUUAUUUAGUCCUACUUCUUAUCAUCAUAUAUGUAAAAAAGGUUAAAUAAAAUGGUUAAUAUUCCUUUUAAAAAAUUUUCCUCUAAAUUACACGGUAUAUAUAUAUAUAUAUAUAUAUAUGCAUUUAAGAUUUUAUCGCAAUCGUUUAUUUGUAGAUUAAAUCUUGAUCGUUAAUCUAAAUUUUCAAAUAUCUAAAAGA